Peromyscus leucopus (white-footed mouse) is the source of this 700-nucleotide long non-coding RNA. RefSeq lists it as uncharacterized. NCBI's taxonomy places the organism in Eukaryota, Metazoa, Chordata, Mammalia, Rodentia, Cricetidae. The transcript is spliced from 2 exons. The record is from RefSeq and is a predicted model, not a curated record.
CAUGACUGGGAGGGAGCUCCUUCAGCUUCUCCUGGGACUCAGGAAGAGAAUCCAACCCCCAAGGCACAGCCGUGCACAUUCCUGGCGGUCCGCUGGCCAAGGCCCAUCCCAUCCUGAGGGCCUGCUCCUCCUAUUUCAUCUGGCUUUGUCAGGAACUGGCUCACUGGACCCCUCCUCACCUAAAGGUGGAUCCUGGCCUCUUCCCUCCUGAUAGCACUGUGCUCUGUAUCUGAAAUCUACCUUUACCCACAGUGGUUCAAUAAAGUCUCCAUCCCACCUCCAUCCUGAGGUGGGCCCAGGGCUGACCCCAUGGAUGCGGAAGACCUCAGCUCAGCAUUAUGGUCCCCUGGGAUGCCCAAUACAGAAGAGAACACAUGCACAGGGCUGGGGGGACACAGAGCAGAUCAGGAGAGACUUCACAGGAGACGGCAUCUCACAUGGCACCACUUCCAAGACAAGCAAUAGUUCCAGGAAGGUUGAGCAAGGCCUGAGACAGCAUGCGGCCCACACCAGGACAUUGGGGGAAAGCGAAGAGCCUUCAAAGGUUGCUCCUUACUCAGGAAAUUACUAGGAGUCAGUGAGCUGAGUUUUCUGUUUCUUUGGGGUCCACUGAGCUCAGGAGGACCUGAGACACAGAAGAAAAUCCUGACAGCUGGACAUUUCAUGUGACACCAAAUGACCAUAAAUGAUUCUAGCCUGA